Malaya genurostris is the source of this 5729-nucleotide long non-coding RNA. RefSeq lists it as uncharacterized. NCBI's taxonomy places the organism in Eukaryota, Metazoa, Arthropoda, Insecta, Diptera, Culicidae. The transcript is spliced from 3 exons. The record is from RefSeq and is a predicted model, not a curated record.
AGCCAAAUAUUUAAGCAUUCGAAAUACCUUCUCGAAACUGACAUCCGGUAUUUCGAACGGAUUGCAAAUAUCCUUAAAAAUCGACAAUGGCGAAUCAGCUUAAAUUUCUCUUACCAGUUUUACCACUUUUUUAUUCGAAGAUAAUAUUGUACAAAUAACACCUCAUAGCUGCAAUGUAAAUUUUGUGAAAAUUAGGAAUACAGACAAAAUCUUCUAACAAAUCUUUUUGCUUCCAAGAAAUUUUGUGACCAAAAUUCGGUUGCAGAAGUGUCAAUAUUCAGGUGCGUUUCCACCGCUGUCAAAUGUGUGAUGUUAUCGUGAGUGUCUCGUUGAAGCAUCGACUUGACCUGCGAUUAGAAAUGAUUCUGUUUUACGUAACUUAUACAAAUCCUUUAGGAUUCAUUUUUAUCCAUUGCGAAUUAUUAUUUUUCGCAGUUCUUUUUUGCUAGAUUUCCGAAUGUUUGUUGAUGGCACAGGUGACUAAAAAUGUUACAAUAUGUUAUACUAAACUCCAAUCCCGAAAGCUUCAUUGUUUGCUAUGUUUUUCUUCCAACGCUGAUAACAUCAGUAGUUAUCGGAAUGGAGCUUUCAAUUGUUAUGUACAGCGCUCAAUACAUAGAUUGGGCACUCUUUCCUAAAGUGUUCACCUCUGGGAGUCGAAAAACAUGACUAACAACAAUUGUGGGUGGUUUGCAGUCACUCAGUGGAGUAUGUGUGUGUGUCUGUCAAAAGCUAUGUGAUACCUUCAUUGUUGAACAUAGGAUGACUGAUGUUGUCAUUUGUACUCUUCCGUUGAUUUCUUCCAAGUUCACCUUAUCAAUAAUGUCAAUGUAAGUCGCUGUAGCUUCCUUCCAAUUACAAAAAAAAAAACAAAGUUAUGUUGAUGGACAUGAUUGUACUGAACCGUUAGAGUAGGGCGGCGCGCAAACACAGAUGAUGGCGGCGUUCUCAUCAAAAUAAAUUAAAAUUCAUUACCCUUACGGACCCAUCCCCUUCUCACGGUGUCGAGAGAUACAUCGACAGAGAGAGAGAUAUGUAUAUAACCGCCGCGACCGUCACCACCGUCGAUUGAGUAGAAUGGGAACGACAAAACUACAUUUUUUAUGCUGGUGUUUAAGUGAAUGUAUGUUUCGGGAUGACAUUUCGCCACGCGCACACUCGCGAGCUCUCUCGUUGUCAGUCCACUGUUCAAUCUAACGGUUUCUCUCUCACCCUUCUUCGAAGAGUGCCGGUCUUUAUGUGUAUACAGAUUUUGAUUACGUUUUUCCGUGUUUUCUUGCCCGCCGCUUCACUUCGCGUUCUCUUGCUUAUUUACUUUCUUUACCAUAAUAUGUUGGCUCUCUGUUUUGGUUGAUUUCGAUCAUGCGCGAGCGGUUGCUCACUCUCGUCGAUUCCGAAGAUCCGCACAGCUGAGUAAAACGGUCUCACGAGUGGCCUCUCUGUUUUGUUCCAUAGAGUUCGAUAUGGUUUUCCAUUUGUGCCGCCCUGCAAACCUUGUAGGGAAAAUGCGGAAAGCUUUCGCCCGGUGGACUCGCAAUACGGGUGAGAGUGAGUGCGUCGUGGUUGAUCGCGGGAGAAUGAGUCCCAGUGAGUGGCAAGUGAAAAUCAAGUACAAAGUAAGACGAGCUUUGAAAAUUGUUGAUGAACAAACGCGAGUCUUAGAGAAUGUGCAUGCCCGCAGGUCUGCGGUCCCGCAUCUGGCAGUCGUAGCAGUUAGUCGGUAUCUGACUUGAAAUGGAUUAACUUCCUUCUGCGGAACUAACAAAAAGAAAAAGUGACGACCUAACACGUUUCCGUGCGAAAGUUUCGGUCUAGCCGUUUGAUUUUUCCGUUUGUUGCCUUGUAUUGAAUUUUUCGUAUUAACCCUUUAGAUAAUUCUACCGCAUAAGCAGAGAAUAGCGGCUGGUGGCUAUAGAAAUAGCUGUGCUUUGUAAAAAGAAAAUCAAAUUAUUAGUGAUCUUGUUGUGUAUGGUAUAAAGAAAAACAAAACUUAUUGUUACUAUUAAACAAGUGAUAAACUUCCAACCCACCGGUCUCAAUGGAACCACCUUCUGGAAAGGAAAAUAACCAAAAAACCACCCACUACAAUCAAUAGUUCGAUAUCAAUAGGAUUUCACAAGUGAUAAGUGUUGUUAAUUCAGUCUAGUGUCCCGAAGAGAGGACCGUGUUGAAGUGUUGAAAUCUAACCACAUAUUUUCCGUGAUUGAUCACACCUCACUACAGCAGGCAUUGUGCGUAUGUCAGUGUUCGGAUUCGCCAGCAGAUAUUAAGUAAACAGAAGGAAAAUAAUUUGAAAUAUAUUAUAACUACACCAAGUGCUAGGAAUUCCUCAAAGAGAGCGAUCCGUUCCCGAUGGACCACCGCCGUGUGAUUGGUGUGCACUGAUGAACCACCUUCGACCGUUCGUCGGAAUUUCACAGUACUACGGAAAAGCCCAGGCUUGUUGUACCUGAAUUGUUGAAGUUUGAUACGCCCCACUCGGUGCCAUUGAUAAGCAAGGUGUUCCAACAAUCGAUAAGCAGUGACAUUGGAUGUGUGUAUGUGUGUGCAUUGGCCAAUCAAACAAAUAUCGUCGGCAGUCGUGCCCGGUGAUAAGGUGUCGUCAACAACAAUUACGCAUCAGCUUUAUGAACCAUCGAUAAGUGCGCUUUGUGCCGAAGGUGUCUUCAGUUGGACCAGUUUCUUGUAACGACGUAUACACGUGCGAGUAUAACACCGUGAAGCUUUAAGGACCUAGUUCUGUAGAUAUUUUGCGGUUCUGUUGACUUUUGCACUAGCUGCUAGUGGAAAGGACAGAACACACCCGGAUAAACACCAGUGGCCUCUAAUAAAAUAAACUAAUAGAAAAAUAUAGAUCUAUACGUAGUAGCUAGUUAUCAAGAGUUCGUAUCCAUCGGAAGCCUUACAACGUGCUUUGAGAGCAUAACAAAAAUAUAUAUAUAUCGGCCAAGAGGCUAACCCACGAAAAAGUUUCCAGUGAAUUGAUAUCGUUACCGUUAUCAGAGGAACAGAAAAGAGUGUAAUAUUCCCAGAUCAAGCCGGCUUGUUGUGGCAAUGGGCGUAUGAAAAUUGCGGUCGAAGAAGUACGAGUAUAACGCACAUUCAUCUCAUUGGUUUGUGUGUGUGUAUCCGAAGGUUCGAGAUAACUCUAUGCAAAAUAUGUGUAAUUUGCGAUAACAACCUCGUCGAAAGCGAACGAUAUAGUACAAGAGGAGGGAGGGAAGUACACCAAAGAGCAAAACAUAUUUUUUUCAAGCGUUCCCGGCUCGAUCGAUGAAUGUACUUCUCGACGCGAGGAGUUAGCCACCGAACGCACCCGGAGUCAGCAUCGAAUAUCCUCACAGUGAACGACAGCUUGUCGCGCCCAGUUGCAAAAACUAAUAAAAGAUAAUGAGCGAAAAAAUUAUCACGGCAAUAUAGAGUGCUACUGCGACAGCCCUCCCCAAGGACUCGGCCAGUGAUCCGACGGGAACGUAGCUAGCGCCGAAGUGACAACAACCAAACGAAAACGGGCUGCUUCUCACACCCCACCGGGUCUCUCAUCAAACCAAGGCAGAAUAGUAACAAGCGUAACAUUUUGACACGCCUGAGAAAACACACUUUCUUCCAAUUUCACGUUAGGAUUGCAAACGAACCACCACCGCCCCAAAUUAUAGGUAGGUGGUGCAAUCAGAGCGCAUCGUGAAAAAAGUAAAGUGGCGAAAGGAAAAAUUCGUUAUUUUGUUUUUCUAACUAACUGGUGGUGGAAAGCAUAACGAAGAGAAAGGAUCGCGCCGUGCAAGCAUACCGUAAUCAGGCCACCGUUGACGGAAGGACGACAGUGAAUUGUUCCCGACCGAAGACGGAGACGGCACUGCCGAGAGCGUUGAUAAUAAAUGAAAUGAAGAAAUAAGUGCUAUCGAAGUUAAAUUCAAUUAUAAUACGACCUAUCUCCAUCAGUCAGUGUAUCAGUCGGUGUUCAUGGUUUUCUAGCAGCGGAAAUACCCGGCCCAAGGUUGCAACAGUGGUUUCCUAGUGACAGUUUGUGAAAUAUAGCAAGUGCUCUACAGUCGGGUUUUAGGGCUUGGUUGCAUAACGUUGAUUAUUGAAAAUUGAAACAGUACUACACUACACCGGCAGCGAGAGCAGAGGUUGCAAUACCCCGGCGAAUACGAUGGUGGUACUGGAACAUACCACAAUGACGACCGCCCUGCUGGGUGGACCAUAUGCUCAGGGUGCCCCGGCACUGAAGCUGAUUCCCAAACGCUUUCUCGGAUUGCAUCAGUGGCUCAGUCCGAUCUGUGCCAGCAAGGACCUCAAAGAACUCGUAAGUUAUAUGUGCAAUCAAGUCGUCCCCACCUUGUUCCUUGAAACGGAGCACGUACCAUGCGACCACGGCGACAGAGGCUUACAGUUUAUAGCCCCGGACUGCCAUUUUUCCAAUUAACGCUUCCUGUUGCUGCCGCCCGUCCUUCGUAACGCGGCAUUUUUUAUCACCCGGUGGCUAUUUUCGCCGAUGCUCCGCACGUGUAAAGCUUGGUCGGUUAAGUGGGGUUUAAGAUGUUAAAUUACUAUCGUUGGAUCCUACGUUCCAGUUGACUCUAAACUACGAAAUAAAUUUUCUUAGUUGUAAUCAGGUGAGCUGUGCGUUCCCUUACUUCAUGAUGGAAAACGUGCUACUUCGGGGUGUAAUUUUGUUACUCUAGAACGGAUUUUCGUAUACUCGUACGCACGUACACAGGAAUACAUGCUAGAACCAAAUGAAUUACCCAGAUGGCAUUAUUUUCGUAUUGUAACACACAACAUUUAAUGAUUUACUGGACCAGUCGACCGGUUAUGACCGCUUACGAUGGAUGGUACCAGUAUAAACUCCCAAUAUCCGGAUAAAUUUCAUUAAAUUGAAACAUUUCCAAGGGUUUUAUUUUUCUAUCAGGUAAAGAAAAUAUACCUUGAAUUUCGUGGAUUGCUGCCUGUUUGUGAUACAUUGUUGCUGGGUGGUCGGCCAUCGACAAAAAUACAAUAGCUGUAAUGGAUUAUUGAUUCGUUCACGUGCCCACUGGUCAGUCCCUCUGGAAGGGGUGAUUUGUUUCUAGUGUUCAAUUUUUUCCUCCUAAUGGCAACUACCAAGUGCGGGAAAUCGCCCACUUUUUCUCUCCCACCAACACAUUGGGAUGGUUAAUGGAAAAUGGAACAGUUGAAAGGUGAAAAUAUCAUUGUAAGGCUGAGGACAGCCACGAGGUCGCUAUUGUACAGAUUCUGAACAGAGUUUAUACUGCACACGAACUAACCGAUGGAUGAUGGUUUUCUAUUUGAAUAACGAAUAUGCGACACUUCAGAGUAUGGUUUCCUGUUUGUUAUCGAUAUAAGCACUCGAAUGAUGGCGGUCUAACCUGACCAGUGUCACGAAUUUUUACCUGGAAAUGUUUUUUUUUCCUCCACAUUCAAUUGAUUGCUAGUAUUUGAGUGUUGAGGGGAAAUACUUGAAUGAAUACCAUUUGGUCGAUAUCAGUUUCCCGAUAAGUACGAGGAAAUAUUGGAGUGUCGCGUGUGCUGGAAAUAAAAACAAUUACCGAUAGAUAUCUCUAUCUCGUCGGGAAGCAAUCGAUCACCCCAACCUGCCACGCUAAAUUGCUCAUGGCCUAACUGUGCGAGUGAAUGUAACCAUUCAACGUUUUUCAUAUAAUGAUAGUAUAUUGAAGUCGAUGUAUGUAAUAAUUCAAUUUUAAGAAUGAUUACAAUAAUUUCGUGAU